GGUGUGAACGUCACACGUUGAGCGGCGCAUGGAAGUUCGUCACCAUCGCUGUUGGACCUGCUGGAGCUUUCGAGGUUCUGAUCGGUUCCAUUUUUGUUUGGGUUCAAAUUCAGACUCUCGGCGUCGGCCUACAAAGCCAGUUAUCGAUAAACAAACACCGUGAGGAUUUCGUUCAUCUUAAGACGAACACCGGAAACCGCUCAGUAAAGCGAAAGUUGAGAGUCGAGAUGAGUGUGGAGGCGUACGGGCCGAGCUCGCAGACCCUCACCUUCUUGGACACUGAGGAAACGGAGUUGCUCGGAGCGGACACCCAGGGCUCCGAGUACGACUUCACCGACUUCACUCUUCCCAGCCAGACGCAAACUCAAGGCCAGACCCAGAGCCAGCUGGACGGGCAGGUAAAUGGUCCUGAUGAGGGUCUUCACAACGGUGGAGUGGAUGACUCCGUGGCCAAAGCCAGCCAGCUGUUGGCCGAGCUCAACUUUGAGGAGGAUGAAGAAGACACAUACUACACCAAAGACCUGCCUGUGCAUGCAUGCAGUUACUGUGGUAUCCACGAUCCAGCGUGUGUGGUGUACUGCAAUACCAGCAAGAAGUGGUUCUGUAAUGGACGUGGCAACACAUCUGGCAGUCACAUUGUGAACCACUUGGUGAGAGCCAAGUGCAAAGAGGUGACGCUGCAUAAAGAUGGGCCGCUGGGCGAGACGGUGCUGGAGUGUUACAACUGCGGCUGUCGCAAUGUCUUCCUCCUGGGCUUCAUCCCGGCCAAGGCCGAUUCCGUGGUGGUGCUACUCUGCAGGCAGCCCUGUGCCAGCCAGAGUAGCCUGAAGGACAUCAACUGGGACAGCUCGCAGUGGCAACCACUGAUCCAGGACCGCUGCUUUCUGUCCUGGCUGGUGAAGAUCCCAUCGGAGCAGGAGCAGCUUCGGGCCCGCCAGAUCACUGCCCAGCAGAUCAACAAGCUGGAGGAGCUCUGGAAGGACAAUCCCAGUGCCACCUUGGAAGACCUCGAGAAACCGGGAGUGGACGAGGAGCCCCAGCAUGUGCUGCUACGCUAUGAGGACGCCUACCAGUACCAAAAUAUCUUUGGCCCUUUGGUCAAACUAGAGGCAGACUACGACAAGAAGCUUAAGGAGUCCCAGACUCAAGACAAUAUAACAGUCAGGUGGGACCUGGGACUGAAUAAAAAGCGGAUUGCCUAUUUCACACUGCCCAAGACGGAUUCAGGUGAUAUGCGGCUGAUGCAAGGUGAUGAGAUCUGCUUGCGAUACAAGGGAGACCUGGCCCCGCUGUGGAAAGGCAUCGGUCAUGUCAUCAAAGUCCCUGACAACUAUGGGGAUGAAAUUGCCAUUGAGUUGCGGAGCAGUGUGGGAGCACCUGUGGAAAUCCCCCACAACUUCCAGGUGGACUUUGUGUGGAAGUCCACUUCCUUUGACAGGAUGCAGAGCGCCCUCAAAACGUUUGCAGUGGAUGAGACCUCCGUGUCUGGCUACAUUUAUCACAAACUGUUGGGCCACGAGGUUGAGGAUGUCACCAUCAAGUGCCAGCUGCCAAAGCGCUUCACGGCCCAGGGCCUGCCCGACCUCAAUCACUCACAGGUGUACGCUGUGAAGACGGUGCUGCAGAGGCCUCUCAGUCUGAUCCAGGGUCCUCCUGGCACUGGGAAGACUGUUACCUCUGCCACUAUUGUCUAUCACCUGUCCCGACAAGGCAAUGGACCAGUUUUGGUGUGUGCUCCCAGUAACAUUGCCGUUGAUCAGUUGACUGAGAAGAUUGACAAGACUGGACUGAAGGUCGUCAGGCUGUGUGCCAAGAGCCGGGAGGCCAUCGAGUCACCAGUGUCCUUCCUGGCGCUGCACAACCAGAUCAGCAACAUGGACAGUAUGCCGGAGCUUCAGAAACUACAACAGCUGAAGGAUGAGACUGGUGAGCUGUCAUCUGCUGAUGAGAAACGCUACAGGGCUUUGAAACGCACUGCAGAGAGAGAGCUUCUUAUGAAUGCUGAUGUUAUCUGUUGUACCUGCGUCGGGGCUGGAGACCCUCGACUGGCCAAGAUGCAGUUCCGAUCCAUCCUGAUUGAUGAGAGCACCCAGGCCACCGAGCCAGAAUGUAUGGUGCCCGUGGUGCUGGGAGCCAAGCAGCUCAUUCUGGUGGGUGAUCACUGCCAGUUGGGUCCUGUGGUGAUGUGUAAGAAGGCAGCCAAAGCAGGUCUGUCCCAGUCCCUGUUUGAACGCUUGGUGGUCCUAGGAAUCCGGCCAAUCCGCCUGCAGGUCCAGUACCGCAUGCACCCGGCUCUCAGUGCCUUCCCCUCCAACAUCUUCUACGAGGGCUCCCUGCAGAAUGGCGUGACUGCAGCUGACCGUAUCAAGAAAGGCUUUGAUUUCCAGUGGCCGCAGCCGGACAAGCCCAUGUUCUUCUACGUGACUCAGGGUCAGGAGGAGAUUGCCAGCUCUGGAACCUCCUACCUUAACAGGACGGAGGCGGCCAACGUAGAGAAGAUCACUACCAGGCUGCUGAAGGCUGGAGCCAAACCUGACCAGAUCGGCAUCAUCACCCCAUAUGAGGGUCAGCGCUCCUACCUGGUCCAGUACAUGCAGUUCAGCGGCUCCCUGCACACCAAACUCUAUCAGCAAGUGGAAAUUGCCAGUGUGGAUGCCUUCCAGGGCAGAGAGAAGGACUUCAUCAUCCUGUCUUGUGUUCGUGCCAAUGAGCACCAGGGCAUCGGCUUCUUGAAUGACCCACGUCGUCUCAACGUGGCGCUGACCAGAGCCAAGUAUGGUGUGAUCAUUGUGGGAAACCCUAAGGCCCUCUCCAAGCAGCCGCUGUGGAACAACCUGCUGAACAACUACAAGGAGCAGAAAGUCCUCGUGGAGGGACCCCUCAACAACCUCAGGGAGAGCCUCAUGCAGUUCAGCAAGCCCCGCAAACUGGUCAACACCAUCAACCCUGGGGGACGUUUUAUGAGCACUGCGAUGUACGAUGCCCGCGAGGCUCUCAUCCCUGGCUCUGCCUACGACCGCAGCAAUGCUGCUGGACGUCCGUCCAACAUGUACUUUCAAACCCAUGACCAGAUUGGUAUGAUUGGGGGGGGGGCCGGUCACAUGUCUGCCAUGAAUAUUCCCAUACCCUUCAAUCUGGUGAUGCCACCCAUGCCUCCACCCAGUUACCUGGGUCAGACCAACGGCCCUGCUGCAGGUCGUGGAGCUAUGAAGGGAAAACCUGGCCGUGGUGGGCGGCAGAGGGUCCGUGGCUCGGGAAACCAGGGGUCCAGUCAGGGUAACGGACCAAACAGUCAGGUCAGCCAGGAUGGGGCCUCCCAGUCCUUCUCCCAGGGGCCACUGACACAAGGCUACAUCUCCAUGAGCCAGCCCUCUCAGAUGAGCCAGCCUGGCCUCUCCCAGCCAGAGCUGUCCCAGGACAGCUACCUGGGCGAUGAGUUUAAGUCCCAAAUUGAUGUGGCUUUGUCCCAGGACUCGACUUACCAGGGUGAACGCGCAUACCAGCAUGGUGGGGUGACUGGACUGUCACAGUACUAGAGUUUUGUCCUGCAGCUAAAAUGUAAAAUCCACCGUAAAUUCACCUUUGACCAAUGUGACGGUGUCUUUGAAGUAAUUCAGAAAAGCUGAACAGGGCAGUUUUACAGGCUAUUAAGGUCACUUGAAGAAGGGAGCUAGGCUUGAGCUGAGCUUAGUUCAUCAGCUUUUUAAUCUGGGAAAUAAUAAAAACAUAAAAUGGAUACCUGUUUUCCUCUGCUACAACCGAAGCACCACCGAGUGAAAGCGACGGGAUAGCGAAACCAAACCAAUGACCAGCGAGAGAAAUCUGAGGGUAGAAGAAGAGCGCACGAACAGACGGGCGGGAAGAUGGCAGGAGAGGCCGAGUGAACAAGCGAGAGGCAGAGGCCGAUGUCCGUGCAAAGAGAAGGAGGGAAGUCGAGAAGAUGGCAGCGUGUGGUCGAGCUGCUGAGGGAAACAGAGGGGAGACCUGAACGGUCUCUAAUGGGAAUCCAAAUGAGGCUCAACUCCCAACAAAAUAAUCCAGCAAACCCAUUGAACCCACAGCCUCCAGAAAAGGAAGGAAAGCUAUCUCCUCUUCAGAUGGGGAUCCAAAGCUUUCCAGUUGAAUUUGAAGAACUAGUUCUCCAAACUUGCAGGGGGGCAUGAUUGCAGAAAGCCAUCAAACAAGCAACACAAAAUCCCCAUGCUAAAAGUCAAUUGGUUGCUCAUCCUGAAUCUUUUUAAAUUUGGUUUAUCAUGGGAGGAGAGCGGUACCAACAAUCUUCUAUUGGGCCCAAAAACCUCGACAGCCUCUGAAGGAAGCAGCAUUCGACACACCCUCUCGGUGAGGAAAUAAAAACACGGUUUCUGUGCUAUAGUCUGAGAUUAAAGAGCCUUGAAUUGAAAUACCUUUCAUUUGCCUUGAGAACCACUGGCUCACUCACAAGGUCUAAUGGGGUGGUUUCGACCACACAUCAGUGGUGGAGUGGCACGGGGAUUUCAGACUAUUUUUUUCAAGGCAUGACGCGCGAAUCCCACAGAUAUCGCGAUCAUCAUGGGACAGUUUUUCUUCUCUGAAGUACCUUUCUUAUCACAGAGCACAAAAUUGCAAAAAAGUCAUCGAAACUAUCAGACACGACCAGCAUUGGAUAUUCAACUCAGUGUCAUUUGAUGUUUCAGCGAAGGCUUUCCCUUAUUUUAAUCUUUUGAAAGCAGGGGUGGUUGUUGUCCCACAGUGCUUCAUGACCAGAUGUCUUUUUUUUUUUUCUUUUUUUUUUUACGCUCUGUGUACGCUUAGAUUGGCAAGUGCUUGAAUGCUUUGCAUCGAUUGAUUCCUCAGGGGAUUGUGGACUGUCAACAAUCGCCACACAGAUCCCUGCUUGAGGUGAAAGAAACCAAACAAGGGGGAAAGAAUGAUGUUAGUAGUCGAGGCUUACAGGCGGUCAUGGCAAUCAAUCCACCACAGGUAAGGAGUAGAAAAGGAAGGUGGCUGAGAGAGAGAAGGAUAUGAGAGUUUCUGGAAAACAAGUUCAGGUCAUUGCCAGGGUUGAAAAUUUAGAGGGAAACGUGUGGCUUUAGGACUGUUCAGUCCCAAUAAAGGACCACACAUUAGAUGUAGUUGUAAAACCCAGUGUCACAUCACAAAGCAUUUUGAUUUUGUGAAUGUUACCAUGGGAAGCAAUAUAGCCAGGCUGAUGACCAUAUUGCCCAGCCACACAAAUCUAACCAUAAUCAGGGGUUGAAAAAAUAAGACACAAAUGAAAUAUGUCAAGUUUCAACGCAACAUCAACAUGAAAGAUCUUUGGUUCCUGUGUAAUAACAUAUUUUGACACUUAACUAAACCCCAGUUACACACAGUGGAAAUGCUGAUGAUGGCAAGGAGGUAAAUGAAAAGUGAAUGAGAAACGUGAAUCAGUGCCUAUAACCAAUAACCUUCAGAUAAACAGCUGCUGCACAAGCAUGAAUGUAGUUAAAAUCAAACUACCAGCAUAAAAAAACUAGGACACCAGAGGGCUCAAAAAACACCACAGAAAAGGAGUUGUAAUGUUUUUUUUUUAUAUCAAUAUCAGGCCAGAUAAUGAGGUCAGUGAGUUUAGCAGGAAAAAAGCCACCUUCCUUCUCUGUGAAGUAAAAUAAACUGAGGCUGGUAGAAUCUAUUUUUCCUUCUGUGGACUUUUGAUUUGUGCAAAGAUGUUUUGCCUGCAUUAUGUAUUCUGAGAGUUCCUCUCGAGAUUUAUAUGGAUCCCAAACCCUCUUCUUGAAGAACUGUGUGAACCUGAACCUUGAGUUGAUCCAAACUUUGCUUUUGUCAGAUGAUUCGCUGCUUUGUGUGUCACGUUUUGUUCAGUUGGGUGUUAUUUUUAGCCAUUGUGUAGUUUUACUAAAAACCUGUUUUUGUAGCAACAGGAACGAGGCAGACAGUUUCCUUUUCUCCAUUAAUUUUUUAUCUUCUCCUCAAACUGUCCGAGGGAUUGUAGUUUUUUAACUCUUCCAGGAAAGACGCUUUCUGAACACAGUAAGAAUGUACUUCGCUGUUUCUUACCUGCUUCUCAUUUCUGCAGACAUGUGACAAUCAUGUUGUAAGUAGAUGCUGCCAUGUUUAAUUGACUUAGAAGUAGUUCUAUUUUGUUGGCUUUGUGCGAAUCUGUCAUUUGUUCAAUGAAUUAGUUUUACAUAUCAGACCGUUCCAUUGAAAUCCUAACAUGUUAUAGCUUUAAGAACCUGCUGCCGUAAUAUUAUUGUAUUGCUUUGGUGUUGCCCCCCCCCCAUCUGAGCCACAAUGAAUUGCAACAUGUGCAGUGAUUCAGUUGUAGAGUAGUUGUUAAACAUUUGCAUCCAAACCCUUGAUUCUUUACAUCAACAGGCAGCGAUUAAAUGAAUGGACUUGAGAGCUCAAUGUGAUGUAAAUACCUAUUGCAGUGAAGUUUCAUCACAACAUGGCUGUUCCUUGUUAAAUUGAAUCAAUAAAGGCUGUCAACUUGA
Molecule: RNA transcript, 6479 nt
Organism: Micropterus salmoides (largemouth bass)
Lineage: Eukaryota; Metazoa; Chordata; Actinopteri; Centrarchiformes; Centrarchidae
Gene name: regulator of nonsense transcripts 1
Exons: 25
Source: RefSeq, a predicted model, not a curated record